GGGACCUGGUGGCCCAAGUGGUCAAGGCGCUGCCCAGGGGAAGGGAAGCGAAGAAGAUGGUGGGUGUGGCAGAUCCCAUCUGACGCGUCCCGUCGGUCCCGCCA
Molecule: transfer RNA, 104 nt
Filed under: Gemmatimonadota bacterium
Lineage: Bacteria; Pseudomonadati; Gemmatimonadota
Description: Gemmatimonadetes bacterium (groundwater metagenome) tRNA-Pro
Source: RNAcentral